Molecule: long non-coding RNA, 207 nt
Filed under: Nicotiana benthamiana
Lineage: Eukaryota; Viridiplantae; Streptophyta; Magnoliopsida; Solanales; Solanaceae
Description: long non-coding RNA (NBEN_LNC032424)
Source: RNAcentral
GGGAAUGGCAUAUUCCAAAACCAUAUAAUGAGAAAGGGCAUACCUAUCCCCUUACUUAUUCGUCUUGAACUUCUUCCUGUGAGUAAGAUCCUAUGAGAUACCUCCUUCUAUAAGAGGAUAGGCGAGAUGCAUCUUAUAAGGGAGAGGUGCGAAAGGUACGAGAGUUGCUCGACAUCAAGGUUUGGAACACACCGACGAUUCGGGAGU